CUAGAGAUCGGGAGAGGUUUUUACACUGGGUUCCCUCGAAUUCAAACUAAAACAACACAAUACGCAAAGUGAUCCCCUAAACCAAAACCGCUACGCAACAUCAACUCACUAAGGGUCGUCUCAUGUACUUAUGUAUCUGGGUAACCCGAACUAGUGAAAAAUCAAAUUUUCUCUUUUAUCAAGGGAUUAACAUUAUCAUUCUAACCUCCCUAACUUCCGAUUUUAAUCUGUAAAAUGUUAAAUCUGUUUACCCUCAUACAGGGACGAGGCGGGGUGCCUAACACCUUCCCUGCCCAUAUGCGGACCCCGAACCUAGAAUCUCUG
RNAcentral lists this unclassified non-coding RNA (324 nucleotides) under Hevea brasiliensis (rubber tree). Lineage: Eukaryota; Viridiplantae; Streptophyta; Magnoliopsida; Malpighiales; Euphorbiaceae. The record is from RNAcentral.